UUUUUUUUUUUUUUUUCCAGUCCAGCAUUGUGCCUGGUGCUGUCGAGCUAAUAAAUGCCAUUUAAAUAUUCAUGCAAUGUUCGUUACAGUGAACUCUAAUGUCACCCCACAGCAGUCCAUUGAACUCGAACAAUAACGAGAAGUGAAUAAACAAAUUGAUCCAGGGUCGUGACCUGCGGUCUGUGCAACAGGUUUGGACAUAAACACCAGGUCCAGUUUCAGAGAAUAUUUCUUAUAUCAAUCAUGCCGAGUCCAGCAGAGACGUUCAGAUGAUUUAAAUGUGCUUGUUCCAGCCCCAGACUCUCAGAGGGAUCACAGCCAUUACAUUCUGUGCCACAGGAAGGAACUGCCUUGUUCUGUUUGCCGUAUCGCCCAUGCCAGAUCUUUUAACUCGACUGAUUUUCCAUCAACAGUUGGGCUUGAAAGAGCAAUAAAAGAGUUAAUCAGAUGCAUUGGUUGACAUUUAAUGAGGGUAUAACUCAAUGAUCUGCACGUCAGAUGACAGCUAAACAUUGCCCUCUCCUGGAUAUAUAACUGGAAUCUCUUGCUUGAUGAGCCAAGAAGCGUUGGGCUCCGGUCCAGGAGAACGAGUCUAUGUCUAGACACACAGGUGCAGAUCUCUGCUGUCUGAACGCUUGAUUCUCCCGGCCCUGUGUGUCACAGCGAGCACAGCUUCAGCAGGACACACCCUGUCCCACACUGACUUCCCCCAGUGGCUUUCACUGUGCAGAAACCAAAGCUAAAGCCAUACACUCUGGACCACAGCCAGACACUGG
This is a long non-coding RNA of Cyprinus carpio carpio, 776 nucleotides long. The record is from Ensembl. NCBI's taxonomy places the organism in Eukaryota, Metazoa, Chordata, Actinopteri, Cypriniformes, Cyprinidae.